This 488-nucleotide ribosomal RNA is filed under the name uncultured bacterium. RNAcentral's name for it is "bacterial SSU rRNA". It matches the Rfam family "Bacterial small subunit ribosomal RNA", at positions 33 to 507 of the family's 1533-position model. The record is from RNAcentral.
GACGACGCUGGCGGCGUGGAUUAGGCAUGCAAGUCGAACGGUAUCAUCCUUUCGGGGAUGAGAGAGUGGCGAACGGGUGAGUAACACGUAGGUGAUCUACCCUCAAGGACGGGGACAACCCAGGGAAACUUGGGCUAAUACCGGAUGUGAGCUAUCGUGAGAUAGUUUGAAAGGUGGCUUCGGCUGCCGCUUGAGGAUGAGCCUGCGUCCUAUUAGCUAGUUGGUGAGGUAACGGCUCACCGAGGCAGUGAUAGGUAGGCGGCCUUAACGGGUGGUCGCCCACACUGGGAUUGAGAUACGGCCCAGACUCCUACGGGAGGCAGCAGUCGAGAAUAGUCUACAAUGGUCGAAAGACUGAUAGUGCGACGCCGCGUGAACGAAGAAGCCCUUCGGGGUGUAAAGUUCUUUUAUAUGUGAGCAGUGACAUCUAUAUUAAUAGUAUGGGUGUAGAGAUAUUAGCAUAUGAAUAAGCAACGGCUAACUCCGUG